GGCCUGCUGCGGUUCCUGCGGAAGCUCAAGGAGGUUUUCGACGUGUGCGACGAGGAUGCGGACGGCUUCAUCCGGGUGGAGCACUUCGUCGCCCUGGGGCUGCAGUUCGGCCAAGGCGAUGAGGUGGAAAAACUGGCAAAGUACUUGGAUCCAAAUGAUUUGGGAAGAAUCAAUUUUAAGGACUUCUGCCAUGGAGUUUUUGCUAUCAAAGGCUGCGAAGAGUUACUGAAUGAUGUUCUGUCACCUGAAAGCUCCGGGCCUUGGCUCUAUGAGCUGCAGUAUGAUUAUUACUAUUACCAGGUAAGAGGAGCAUUAAC
This 317-nucleotide long non-coding RNA is filed under the name Chrysolophus pictus (golden pheasant). RNAcentral describes it as "lncRNA (ENSCPIG00010012953.1)". The record is from RNAcentral. Lineage: Eukaryota; Metazoa; Chordata; Aves; Galliformes; Phasianidae.